UACGUAGGGGGCAAGCGUUGUCCGGAAUCAUUGGGCGUAAAGCGCGUGUAGGCGGCUCGGUAAGUCUGCUAUGAAAGUCCAGGGCUCAACCCUGGGAUGCCGGUGGAUACUGUCGAGCUCGAGUCCGGAAGAGGCGAGUGGAAUUCCUGGUGUAGCGGUGAAAUGCGCAGAUAUCAGGAGGAACACCAAUGGCGAAGGCAGCUCGCUGGGACGUGACUGACGCUGAGACGCGAAAGCGUGGGGAGCAAACAGG
RNAcentral lists this ribosomal RNA (253 nucleotides) under uncultured bacterium. Its description in RNAcentral is "partial 16S ribosomal RNA". It matches the Rfam family "Bacterial small subunit ribosomal RNA", at positions 524 to 776 of the family's 1533-position model. The record is from RNAcentral.